UACGUAUGGGGCGAGCGUUGUUCGGAGUUAUUGGGCGUAAAGGGCGUGUAGGCGGCCCGACAAGUCUGGUGUGAAAUCGCAGGGCUCAACCCUGCGGGUGCGCUGGAAACGGUCGGGCUGGAGUCCCGGGGGGGAAGCUGGAAUUCCUGGUGUAGGAGUGAAAUCUGUAGAGAUCAGGAAGAACACCGGUGGCGAAGGCGAGCUUCUAUUCGAGGACUGACGCUGAGGCGCGAAAGCGUGGGGAGCAAACAGGAUUAGAUACCCUCGUAGUCC
Molecule: ribosomal RNA, 273 nt
Filed under: uncultured prokaryote
Description: partial 16S ribosomal RNA
Rfam family: Bacterial small subunit ribosomal RNA
Source: RNAcentral